UGGACACCUUCAUCUUCCUCUAGUCCCACUCUGAGUUACAGAAGCAGUGGAAACAUCACUUUGCAAGAGACUGAUGGCUCUCUAAUGAGAACUUAGAGCAAAUCACUCAGUUGUCAGUUCAGCAUCUGGCAGAGCUCAGGGGAUCACCUCCUGCAUUGAAUGCAAGUUCUUUACCACUGAGUCACCAGGGAAACCCCUAGAAGGUAUAGUGAAUACUAAUUAUGACAAAGCUCAGCUAGAUGGGAGCUGGAGUAUGGAGUUGGGGAAGAGAACAGAAAAGCAAAACAAAAUAAGCAAACAAAAUGAUGGAGACAGCAGACAAACAGGGCCAAGCAGCCUGCAGAAUCUUAGCUCCCUGACCAGGGAUAGAACCCAUACACCUGGCAGUGGAAGCACAAAAUCUUAACUGGAAGAUCACCAGGGAAGCACCCAGAAUGAGUCAUUUUAAAUCGAAAACAGAUAAACUGUUCUCGACCCAUCCUCCUGAUUUAUUUAUCAAAAGAAAAAAAAAGAUCCCUUUAAAA
This is a long non-coding RNA of Bubalus bubalis (water buffalo), 524 nucleotides long. RefSeq lists it as uncharacterized. Lineage: Eukaryota; Metazoa; Chordata; Mammalia; Artiodactyla; Bovidae. The transcript is spliced from 4 exons. The record is from RefSeq and is a predicted model, not a curated record.